Molecule: ribosomal RNA, 485 nt
Filed under: uncultured organism
Description: bacterial SSU rRNA
Rfam family: Bacterial small subunit ribosomal RNA
Source: RNAcentral
GAUGAACGCUAGCGGCAGGCUUAACACAUGCAAGUCGAGGGGCAGCACGAUGUAGCAAUACAUGGGUGGCGACCGGCGCACGGGUGCGUAACACGUAUGGAAUCUGCCCUUUACUGGGGGAUAGCCCGGAGAAAUCCGGAUUAAUACCCCAUAACAUGCUUGGUGGCAUCACCAGGCAUUAAAAGCUCCGGCGGUAAAGGAUGACCAUGCGCACGAUUAGCUAGUUGGUGAGGUAACGGCUCACCAAGGCUACGAUCGUUAGGGGGCCUGAGAGGGUUAUCCCCCACACUGGUACUGAGACACGGACCAGACUCCUACGGGAGGCAGCAGUGAGGAAUAUUGCGCAAUGGAGGCAACUCUGACGCAGCCAUGCCGCGUGCAGGAAGAAGGCGCUACGCGUUGUAAACUGCUUUUAACCGGGAAGAAACCCCAGGACGUGUCCUGGGUUGACGGUACCGGAGGAAUAAGCACCGGCUAACUUCGUG